GUUUUUUCCCUUUUUAAAUUACAAAUUAGUAUGUAAACCUUUUAAGUUUUAUAGUAUUUUUCUUCUACUUUGUCUUUUGACACUAUUUCUUACUUU
This 96-nucleotide small RNA is filed under the name Arabidopsis thaliana (thale cress). RNAcentral's name for it is "ATSL098290". Lineage: Eukaryota; Viridiplantae; Streptophyta; Magnoliopsida; Brassicales; Brassicaceae. The record is from RNAcentral.